This 777-nucleotide ribosomal RNA is filed under the name uncultured bacterium. Its description in RNAcentral is "bacterial SSU rRNA". It matches the Rfam family "Bacterial small subunit ribosomal RNA", at positions 8 to 796 of the family's 1533-position model. The record is from RNAcentral.
AGAGUUUGAUCCUGGCUCAGGACGAACGCUGGCGGCGUGCUUAACACAUGCAAGUCGAGCGGUAAGGCCCUUUCGGGGGUACACGAGCGGCGAACGGGUGAGUAACACGUGGGUGACCUGCCCUCAGCUCUGGGAUAAGCCCGGGAAACUGGGUCUAAUACUGGAUAUGACUCCACGGUGCAUGUCGUGGGGUGGAAAGCCUUGUGCGGCUGAGGAUGGGCCCGCGGCCUAUCAGCUUGUUGGUGGGGUGAUGGCCUACCAAGGCGACGACGGGUAGCCGGCCUGAGAGGGCGACCGGCCACACUGGGACUGAGACACGGCCCAGACUCCUACGGGAGGCAGCAGUGGGGAAUCUUGCGCAAUGGGCGAAAGCCUGACGCAGCGACGCCGCGUGAGGGAUGACGGCCUUCGGGUUGUAAACCUCUUUCAGCUCCGACGAAGCGGAAGUGACGGUAGGAGCAGAAGAAGCACCGGCCAACUACGUGCCAGCAGCCGCGGUAAUACGUAGGGUGCAAGCGUUGUCCGGAAUUAUUGGGCGUAAAGAGCUCGUAGGCGGUCUGUCGCGUCGGCUGUGAAAAACUCGGGGCUCAACUCCGAGCUUGCAGUCGAUACGGGCAGGCUAGAGUUCGGCAGGGGGAGACUGGAAUUCCUGGUGUAGCGGUGAAAUGCGCAGAUAUCAGGAGGAACACCGGGUGGCGAAGGCGGGUCUCUGGGCCGAUACUGACGCUGAGGAGCGAAAGCGUGGGGAGCGAACAGGAUUAGAUACCCCCGUAGUCC